AAAAAUCUUGGACUUGGACCUCUUUCAUUUAAGCCCACAAAGCCACGAAAAUCAAGUUAUAAAUCCUGAAAUUUCAGUAAAGGAAAAAGGAGAAGGAGAAUUGGUGAAAGCUGAAAACACUCUGAAGUUUCCUUGGAACAAAACCCUAGAGAGAUUCUAACUAAUUCAGAGCAACCUCCAGAGACUGAAGGGAACUCAUCUGCAAAGAACCAAUU
RNAcentral lists this long non-coding RNA (215 nucleotides) under Lathyrus oleraceus (garden pea). Its description in RNAcentral is "Pisum sativum (pea) long non-coding RNA (PSAT_LNC031423)". Lineage: Eukaryota; Viridiplantae; Streptophyta; Magnoliopsida; Fabales; Fabaceae. The record is from RNAcentral.